RNAcentral lists this non-coding RNA (30 nucleotides) under Rattus norvegicus (Norway rat). The record is from RNAcentral. Lineage: Eukaryota; Metazoa; Chordata; Mammalia; Rodentia; Muridae.
UAACAGAUGUCACUGGGGUCCAUUUGAAAU